RNAcentral lists this ribosomal RNA (497 nucleotides) under uncultured bacterium. RNAcentral describes it as "partial 16S ribosomal RNA". It matches the Rfam family "Bacterial small subunit ribosomal RNA", at positions 28 to 507 of the family's 1533-position model. The record is from RNAcentral.
GACGAACGCUGGCGGCGUGCCUAAUACAUGCAAGUCGAACGCUGAAGAGAGGAGCUUGCUCUUCUUGGAUGAGUUGCGAACGGGUGAGUAACGCGUAGGUAACCUGCCUUGUAGCGGGGGAUAACUAUUGGAAACGAUAGCUAAUACCGCAUAACAAUGGAUGACACAUUUCAUUUAUGUGAAAGGGGCAAUUGCUCCACUACAAGAUGGAUCUGCGUUGUAUUAGCUAGUAGGUGAGGUAAUGGCUCACCUAGGCGACGUUACAGAGCCGACCUGAGAGGGUGAUGGGCCCACCUGGGACGGGGACACGGCCCAGUCGCCCACGGGAGGCAGCAGUAGGGCAUCUUCGGCAAGGGGGGGAACCCUGACCGAGAAACGCCGAGGGAGGGAAGAAGGUUUUCGGAUCGUAAAGCUCGGUUGUAAGUCAAGAACGGGUGUGAGAGUGGAAAGUUCACACUGUGACGGUAGCUGACCAGAAAGGGACGGCUAACUACGUG